GACGAACGCUGGCGGCGUGCCUAAUACAUGCAAGUAGAACGCUGAAGGAGGAGCUUGCUUCUCUGAAUGAGUUGCGAACGGGUGAGUAACGCGUAGGUAACCUGCCUGGUAGCGGGGGAUAACUAUUGGAAACGAUAGCUAAUACCGCAUAAGAGUAGAUGUUGCAUGACAUUUGCUUAAAAGGUGCAAUUGCAUCACUACCAGAUGGACCUGCGUUGUAUUAGCUAGUUGGUGGGGUAACGGCUCACCAAGGCGACGAUACAUAGCCGACCUGAGAGGGUGAUCGGCCACACUGGGACUGAGACACGGCCCAGACUCCUACGGGAGGCAGCAGUAGGGAAUCUUCGGCAAUGGACGGAAGUCUGACCGAGCAACGCCGCGUGAGUGAAGAAGGUUUUCGGAUCGUAAAGCUCUGUUGUAAGAGAAGAACGAGUGUGAGAGUGGAAAGUUCACACUGUGACGGUAUCUUACCAGAAAGGGACGGCUAACUACGUGCCAGCAGCCGCGGUAAUACGUAGGUGGCAAGCGUUAUCCGGAUUUAUUGGGCGUAAAGAGAGUGCAGGCGGUUUUCUAAGUCUGAUGUGAAAGCCUUCGGCUUAACCGGAGAAGUGCAUCGGAAACUGGAUAACUUGAGUGCAGAAGAGGGUAGUGGAACUCCAUGUGUAGCGGUGGAAUGCGUAGAUAUAUGGAAGAACACCAGUGGCGAAGGCGGCUACCUGGUCUGCAACUGACGCUGAGGCUCGAAAGCAUGGGUAGCGAACAGG
RNAcentral lists this ribosomal RNA (764 nucleotides) under uncultured Streptococcus sp. RNAcentral's name for it is "bacterial SSU rRNA". It matches the Rfam family "Bacterial small subunit ribosomal RNA", at positions 28 to 776 of the family's 1533-position model. Lineage: Bacteria; Bacillati; Bacillota; Bacilli; Lactobacillales; Streptococcaceae. The record is from RNAcentral.